Long non-coding RNA from Peromyscus eremicus (cactus mouse), 1404 nucleotides. RefSeq lists it as uncharacterized. The transcript is spliced from 2 exons. The record is from RefSeq and is a predicted model, not a curated record. Lineage: Eukaryota; Metazoa; Chordata; Mammalia; Rodentia; Cricetidae.
GGGACGGGAGGGGGAGGGGAACGCGCAGCCCUAGCAGACAAUAAGCGCUAGGCAGCCUGCGGGCGUGGGUUGAGCAGCUAGCCCCGUCCCCAGAGUGGGGGGGAGUGCACCCAGGGGCGCCCAGCUCGGGGACACUAAGGGGGAGACCUGGCAGGCGACCCAUAUUCAUCCAUCAGUGAAAGAACUCAUGCCCGGGUCCCCAGCUACACACACACACACACACACACACACACACACACACACACACAGUCGCACCCGGGACAGAAGGGGGAGGGAAACUUGGCACGGGGGGAGCUGCAUCUUUGUAGCCCCGCACUGACGGCCGCCGCUAACGGACCGGCGCGCCACCCCCUAGGUCAGCGCGCCCCUAAAGUCGGUGGGGAAAGUGCCCAACUGGCCCUCCCAUCUGCCCCUCCAAAUUAAACCCUCCUCCCCGCGCGCAGUUGCUUGUCACCGACCUGAAACUUUCUCAACGACCCUUUUUCGGGAUGCUUAGGUUGUGGGGGUCGUUUGGGAUCUAAGGUGUCAUCUGGGAAAGGUGCCCUUGCGCACACUCCUGCCUCGCCCCUGCUCUUAAAACAUAUACUAAAUUCCUGGGAGGUUUUGUAGAGUUCGGGACAACAUUCCCUAGCUAACCUUUGGGUCGUGGUGUGCGGAAAGGUUAAAUCUAUGAGGUGCUGGGGACCGUGGCGGGAGGAAAACAAACUGUCCUGUCCCAGGACACCCCUCGGGUUGCGGCGUUCUCUCUGAGUUUUCCCUGGACUUCAGGUAACUCAAAGAUAACGCGUCGGGAAGGAGCCGGGUACCGACUAGGGACCCAGAGAGAAAAGCUGUUUCUCCACCCCCAAGUCUCUCACACACACCCCUUAGUCGCUCCCUCCAAAUGGUUAUCACAACUGUGUACAAACUGAUACGGCCCUUAGCGGGCCAAGGACUGGAAACGAACAUUGGCGGGGUUAUCAGCGCCGAUCUGUCAGCAGCGAGUCGUGCACUGCUCGUCCCAGGCAGCAGUGAUAUACGUCUUGUUCCUGCGGGCUCACAGAAAGGAUUCCUUCCGACAAGCUGGACACUGGAAGGCUGAGGAAAGAUAGUUGAACAGGAGGAACUCUCUAACCGGAAUGGAUUUUUACACACACACCCCAGCGCGGCUGCCUUUCUGAAAGGCUGAAGAUAGAAAACUCUGGAACGGAGAGGCUAGAGGCUGGAGUGGGAUUCGGAGGCUUUAAAUUUUAACCAGUGUUCGAUCGAAAGUUACAACCACAAGAGACUGGCACGGGCCGGCCCAAUUCCCACCGCAGGUUCCAACGGCUUGCUUUGGGUUGUUGGGUAAGUUCUGACCAAAUUUUUAAACGGACUGGGUUCUGCGAAGUUCAUUUGUAAGCAAUUCAUUAAAACUCUGGACAU